UGAUGUAGAAGCCAACCACAAGUUUAACUCUCGAACCUAUACCACCACUCUGCAAAGCUUAACUCUGGUAGGAAAAUGUGUAUAGAUAUAUAACUAGAAUUAACAUGCAAUGUAUUAUUUCAUCAAUUAUCACAAUAGGCCAGAGAUUAAUGCCCUUCAAAAGGAUUGGUAUCUUCCUUAAUGACAUAUUAGCACGUCAUAAAUGACAUAUGACAAAUGGUUGAUAAGCAUAAUCUUAAUUUCACCUAGACUGAAAAUUAUAAUAUCUAAUCUCACACAGACUGAAAAUCAAAACUACUUGAUUAAGUUGUACUACCAUACGGCAACACUGUGACCCAGGAGCAGUGAGAAUUGCUACCAAUUAUUACACCGCCCUGUCAACCAAAGAUAUUCCCUUGACUAAAGCAAAUCAUUUUAGGGAAACGCAAAAGAUUCUUUCAAAACCAUUUAUUAUUCACAAAAGUUCCAACUUUUCCUCAAUUCUACUUGACAUUUAAGAGAAAAGAUCCUUUUUAAAACAAGUAUUAAGUAGAAAUAUCACAGAAAUACUGUACACAAAUUCUCUGCUUUUCUUCUGUGCAUGUUUUUGUGUCCGUGUGUGCGUACAUUUACAUGAAUGUCUGUGCGUGUGUGUGUGUGUGAGAGAGAGA
This 650-nucleotide unclassified non-coding RNA is filed under the name Hevea brasiliensis (rubber tree). Lineage: Eukaryota; Viridiplantae; Streptophyta; Magnoliopsida; Malpighiales; Euphorbiaceae. The record is from RNAcentral.